Molecule: non-coding RNA, 1617 nt
Organism: Biomphalaria pfeifferi
Lineage: Eukaryota; Metazoa; Mollusca; Gastropoda; Planorbidae
Source: the annotation of a GenBank genome assembly
GUUGUUAGAAGCCACCGAGUAGGCAAGAGUCCAAGUCUUCGUGUCCACAAACCAUCUGAGGUUUGUGGUGACGCCACUGGAUGUAGCCUUCACUGUUUCCCCUUCCAUAACAUGGGCGCAUCUUUCAUAUUUCCCCGCGGAAGAGACGAUGGUCUUCACCCCGUACGUCAACGUAUCCAGAGGUUCCACCCCUGUCUUUGUCAUGUGGUGCUUUAAUACGAAAAACAGUUGCCCUUCGACCCCAACCACUUCAAUGACAUUGUAGUAGACGUUGUCAAAAAAGACCUUGACACUGUGACCUCUCUGUAGGUAACUAGCCAGUUUUUUAGGUUGCAGUCGGCCAAAUUUAUCCAACGAGAGUGCCAUCCAGCACGUAUCUAAAAUAACAUUUCCGGAUGAACUAUCAUCCUCGAUGUUUUCAAAAGUUCCUUUCCCGAUCGCUAUUUCAACAGCACUUACGGUUUUUCCCCAGACGGUUUUAACGUUGUACCAUGUCUGCGGACUAGUGAAGUGACCUCCAUAGUAGACAGUUUGAUACAGUUCCGAAAUUUGAAAGACAAUGUUCUCAUCAUCGUACAAUGCCGUUGUCGUCUGCUCGAAGUGCUGAAAACCUUCGGACAGCGCUGACCUAAGAAGAACGCAGUUCAGCGGGUCAUAAGAGAUCUGAAGCUGAAAUAUUGGAUCCCUGACAAAGAAAUCAAAUUUUGCAGUGCCUGUAUAUGUAGAGUAACUGCCCUUUGCAAAGUUAAAGCUUACACUCUGAUAGCCACCAUCAGAUCUGAAAUGCAAGAAGCGUCUUUUGGAAGUUGUUGAGUUCCAGUUUGAUUUGUCUAGAGUUGUAUGGGAUUCGAAGGACAACCUUUCAUUUAAAGUGCAGCUACAAUAUGCUGCAGUUAAAACCACUGUAGCGUUGGUAGCGGCGUCUCUGUACCUCAACUUAGAGUGAUGAAGAUCUUGGUUUUCAUAAACUGGCGGGGCGACCGAAGGCGACGAGGUAUAGACGAGCCUCCACUGCCCGUUGCAGCAGCUUGGAUUCUUAUACUCGCAUCUUUCACCUGAGUGGAAAUGAAACUGAUUAUGAUAUGCACUUUAACUCAAUAUAUCUUAUCUUAUAAAAUACAGACGUUACUUCAAAAAAGAGGAUGAUUACGUCCUACGCGUUAUGCAUCUAAUCAUGCAUGUUAACCAAUGACUUAAAUUCUGCCAAGUUCUUGGUUUUCCUGGCUGACUCAGGCAACCCAUUCCGUGGGUUAUCUUAGUAAUGUCACAAAACUUACUUUUCAUUACAAUCAUAACGCGUUUUUUUUUCUCCUUAAGGUGCAAGACAUCUAGUAUUUUUUUUUAAGCUUUAUAUAUCAAAGGAUUAUGUAUUAAGUAUAGCUUUUGUGUAAAUAAAACCUAAAAAGGUAUUUACUAAUUAAGUAGGCCUACGCUCAUUUUCUAUUUUAUAAUCAUUACAGUUAUCCUUAAUCCUAGUGAUUCAUUUAAACCUUUACUAUGGCAUAAUGAGGAUGCUGUCAUUCUGUGCGCAACCAAAGUUCUACACUUUUACCUGUCAGAAGCCGUCUUCAAUAAUGCAUCAAGAAAUAUAUGAAAAAUGUGAUAAUAAAAAUAAAG